AUGGCUUCGUUCCCCUUCGACCCUGCAUCAUUCCUCCCGGAAGGUUUCCAUGCGAUUGAUGUGGAAGGGCGGCCUGCGUGCCACCGUGUGCUCCAUGGCAAUCUUGUGCCAGCCAAUGAAGACCUUGCCAUUGCAACAAUCAUCCCCAUGCCCCAAGGAGAAGUAAGUUUUAUCAAUGUCCGUGAGAUCCUCCUAGAGUUUCUGCAGUCCAAGCGCAUUGGUGUCUCUGAUGUGACGAAGUCUCCUUUUGGGCAAGCUUAUGUGAUUGUUCGCGGUGCGGCCGAUAGGGAUUUUCUAGUUAAUAGAGGGCCGCAUGCCUAUGAUGACAUUCACAUCGUCUUUCAAAGGCACAACGAGGGUCUGAACUGGAAGAACUUUAAUUUGAUUGGAGAUGUGUGGCUCAUGGUGUUCGGUUUCCCUGUUGACUUGAGAAGUUUUCAUGAACUGUCUAAUGCUACUGCAAGUUUCAGGCAGCUUAUGUUCUGGGAUAGAUUCAAAUCUAGUGAUGCAGUUGUUGCCCUGAAAGUGAAGGUUGAUGCCCUCAAGGAUGUCCCGGCUAGUCUGGUUGUUUCUGGUGCCAAGAAUUUUAGUGGUCAGUCCUGGACCUGCCCUGUUGUGAUUGUGGAUGACAACCCUAUUGGAGUGCCACCUCCUGAUGAAGAUACAGUUCCCGAAGAUGGCAACCCUCAUCCAAGGCCACCAGAGCAAUUCCAUCACCCCAAUCAGAACAAUCUUAUGGUUGGGCCUGUUGCUUUUCACCUAUUGCAACCUGAGCAACAUAAUUUGCCAGUUAUUGAGGAAGCUCCAGCACAGGAUGAGGAAGAUGAAGGCUGGGGUCACUGGGCAAUGCCACAGCAACAACAGCUGGUGGAUGUGGAAAUUCAAGCUAGAGAAUUUCUAGAAUUAAAUGAUUUGAUGGGACCUCUUGAAAUGCAUGUUGAGCAGCCAGAAGAUGAGUACAGUGGUCUCACUUAA
This 975-nucleotide ribosomal RNA is filed under the name Triticum aestivum (bread wheat). RNAcentral's name for it is "partial small subunit ribosomal RNA". Lineage: Eukaryota; Viridiplantae; Streptophyta; Magnoliopsida; Poales; Poaceae. The record is from RNAcentral.